Molecule: unclassified non-coding RNA, 391 nt
Filed under: soil metagenome
Description: partial contains 5.8S ribosomal RNA, internal transcribed spacer 2, and large subunit ribosomal RNA
Rfam family: 5.8S ribosomal RNA (bases 1-122)
Source: RNAcentral
GAUGAAGAACGUAGCGAAAUGCGAUACUUGGUGUGAAUUGCAGAAUCCCGUGAACCAUCGAGUCUUUGAACGCAAGUUGCGCCCGAAGCCAUUAGGCCGAGGGCACGCCUGCCUGGGCGUCACACGUCGUUGCCCCCCCAUCUACUCCUUCGGGAUUGCGGGGGGCGGAUGAUGGCCUCCCGUGCGCCUAGUCGCGCGGUUGGCAUAAAUGCCAAGUCCUCGGCGACGCACGCCACGACAAUCGGUGGUUGCGAAACCUCGGUUGCCUGUCGUGUGCGGUCGUCGCGCAUCGAGGGCUCGAAAAAAUUGCCGGGCUUCGGCUCGACUUUCAACGCGACCCCAGGUCAGGCGGGGUUACCCGCUGAAUUUAAGCAUAUCAAUAAGCGGAGGA